RNA transcript from Rhinichthys klamathensis goyatoka, 2432 nucleotides. It is a transcript of the gene named glycogen synthase 1 (muscle), with no coding region annotated. Lineage: Eukaryota; Metazoa; Chordata; Actinopteri; Cypriniformes; Leuciscidae. The record is from RefSeq and is a predicted model, not a curated record. The transcript has 17 exons.
UGUCACUCUGACGGACAGCCAAAUUGUCCAACAGACAAGGUGAAUCUGCGCAGGAGACUCCGCCCACUGUCAAAUCAGCCUCCUGGUGAUUGAUUUCAGCAGAUGCGAAGCUUGCGCCGCUGAGCGAGGAAAAGACACUACCGCAGGCAUGCCACUGGCACGCAGUUUGUCGGUCACCUCCCUGUCUGGCCUGGAGGACUGGGACGAAGAGUUUGAUCGGGAGGAUGCAAUCCUCUUCGAGAUCGCAUGGGAGGUCUCUAAUAAAGUUGGUGGCAUUUACACGGUGAUCCAGACCAAGGCGCGUCUGACCUGCGAGGAAUGGGGUGAGAACUACUUUCUAGUUGGCCCGUAUAUGGAGUCCAAUGUCAGGACGCAAGUGGAGCUGAUCGAACCCUGUAAUCCAGCACUCAGAAGAACCAUUGAUAAAAUGAACAGCAGUGGGUGCAAGGUAUAUUUUGGUCGAUGGCUGAUUGAAGGCUCUCCAUAUGUGAUUCUGCUAGACGUGGGCUUCACGGCCUGGUCUUUGGACCGCUGGAAGAGUGAAUUGUGGGAGAAAUGUGGUAUUGGUGUGCCCUGGUUCGACAGAGAGGCUAACGAUGCUGUUCUCUUUGGCUUCCUCACUGCAUGGCUGCUGGGAGAGUAUGCAGCUCAGUGUGACGACCCUCCUCACAUCGUGGCACAUUUUCACGAGUGGCUGGCAGGUUUGGGGCUUGUCUUAUGUAGGCAGCGCCAGUUACCCAUAGCAACCAUCUUCACCACACACGCCACUCUGCUCGGCCGAUACCUGUGUGCCGGUAGCGUCGACUUCUACAACAACCUCGCAGAGUUUAAUGUGGAUAAAGAGGCAGGUGACAGGCAGAUCUAUCACCGGUACUGUCUGGAGCGUGCAGCAGCCCGCUGUACACACGUUUUCACCACCGUCUCUCAGAUCACCGCCAUUGAGGCCGAGCACUUACUAAAGCGGAAACCAGAUAUUGUGACUCCUAACGGUCUGAAUGUGAAGAAGUUCUCAGCCAUGCAUGAGUUCCAGAACCUCCACGCUCAGAGUAAAGCGCGCAUCCAGGAGUUUGUCAGAGGCCAUUUCUAUGGGCAUUUAGAUUUUAACCUUGACAAGACGGUGUUUCUUUUUAUUGCUGGACGCUACGAGUUCUCAAAUAAAGGAGCUGAUAUCUUUCUUGAAGCAUUGGCCAGACUUAAUUACCUUCUGAGGGUGAAUCACAGCGAGGUGACUGUAAUAGCAUUCUUCAUCAUGCCUGCUCGUACCAACAACUUCAACGUGGAGACCCUGAAGGGCCAAGCCGUGCGGAAACAGCUCUGGGACACUGCACAGACUGUGAAGGAGCGCUUUGGGAAGAAACUCUACGAAUCACUUUUAGUAGGGCAGUUGCCUGAUGUGUCUAAGAUGUUAGAUAAAGAGGACUUCACCAUAAUGAAGCGUGCCAUCUUCGCCACCCAACGACAGUGUCUGCCCCCCGUCUGCACUCACAACAUGCUGGAGGACAGCAGUGACCCCAUCCUCAACUGCAUCCGCCGCAUUGGCCUCUUCAACACCUCUCAGGACCGAGUCAAGGUGAUUUUCCAUCCAGAGUUUCUCUCCUCAACUUCUCCUCUCCUGCCGAUGGAUUACGAGGAGUUUGUGAGAGGCUGCCACCUUGGAGUAUUUCCAUCUUACUAUGAGCCCUGGGGAUACACACCAGCUGAGUGUACAGUGAUGGGUAUCCCAUCGAUCUCCACUAACCUGUCUGGGUUUGGCUGUUUCAUGGAGGAGCACAUUGCUGACCCAUCAGCUUACGGUAUCUAUAUUCUGGAUCGGCGGUAUCGUGGGGUGGAUGAGUCCUGUAAUCAGCUGACGUCUUUCCUGUUUCAGUUCUGUCAGCAGAGCCGCAGGCAGAGGAUCAUUCAAAGGAACCGAACCGAGCGCCUCAGUGACCUGCUAGACUGGAGAUAUCUGGGCAGGUAUUACAUUUCUGCCCGUCAUAUGGCUUUAGCGAAAGCUUUCCCGGACACAUACAUCUAUGAGCCUCAAGAACCCACUUCAGCCACAGGCUUCCGUUACCCGCGACCUGCCUCUGUGCCCCCUUCUCCCGCCCACUCGCUUCACUCGUCUCCUCAUCACAGUGAGGGUGAGGAUGAGGAGGAACUGUAUGAUGAAGAUCUGGAAGCAGAGAAAGACCGGGUCAACAUCCGCCAACCGAUUAUUGUACCGAACCGAAACAAGAAUCAUACAGUCGGUCUCCCUGAGAAAAACUAAAACACAGCCCUACAUGCAUACAUACACAAACUGUAGCUUAUACUGUGAGGCAAUAUAAUAUAUAUAUAUAUACCCACACACUUUAAACACAAUAAUACUCCCCUAAAAGUGAACGUAAUGCCUGCAAACAGUGUGUUUGCAUGUUGGUUUUCUGAAGAGAAAUAAAUAAGAUGUUUAAGUA